GCCAGCAGCCAUAUCACCCUGCAACUCAAAACUGGCAACCCACUGAAGCUAAGCAGGUGUGAGCCUGGUCAGUCCUGGAUAAGAGACUUCCUGGGAAAAAAUAAGGUUGCUGUUGGAA
Molecule: ribosomal RNA, 118 nt
Filed under: Lepisosteus oculatus (spotted gar)
Lineage: Eukaryota; Metazoa; Chordata; Actinopteri; Semionotiformes; Lepisosteidae
Source: RNAcentral